This 74-nucleotide ribosomal RNA is filed under the name Puccinia magnusiana. Its description in RNAcentral is "partial 5.8S ribosomal RNA". The stretch from base 1 to 62 matches the Rfam family "5.8S ribosomal RNA", at positions 93 to 154 of the family's 154-position model. Rfam says of the family: 5.8S ribosomal RNA (5.8S rRNA) is a component of the large subunit of the eukaryotic ribosome. It is transcribed by RNA polymerase I as part of the 45S precursor that also contains 18S and 28S rRNA. Functionally, it is thought that 5.8S rRNA may be involved in ribosome translocation. Lineage: Eukaryota; Fungi; Basidiomycota; Pucciniomycetes; Pucciniales; Pucciniaceae. The record is from RNAcentral.
UGAAUCUUUGAACGCACCUUGCACCUUUUGGUAUUCCAAAAGGUACACCUGUUUGAGUGUCAUGAAACCCUCUC